This 213-nucleotide ribosomal RNA is filed under the name uncultured Bacteroidota bacterium. RNAcentral's name for it is "uncultured Bacteroidetes bacterium partial 16S ribosomal RNA". Lineage: Bacteria; Pseudomonadati; Bacteroidota. The record is from RNAcentral.
CAUCGAAUUAAACCACAUGUACCUCCGCUUGUGCGGGCCCCCGUCAAUUCCUUUGAGUUUCACCGUUGCCGGCGUACUCCCCAGGUGGAAUGCUUAACGCUUUCGCUUGGCCACGGACAAUAUAUCGCCCAUAGCGAGCAUUCAUCGUUUACCGUGCGGACUACCAGGGUAUCUAAUCCUGUUUGAUACCCGCACUUUCGAGCCUCAGCGUCA